UGAAAAAUAUCCCAGUAAUAACAUUCCUUUAUAAAAGAAACCUUUUAUAAAUCAGUCGUUUUAUUGUAAUCAAACUUCUAGAUUCCAUUCUUUCUGAACAGGUUCUGGUAAAAUGGGAACGGUUUCUAUUAAUCAACUGGACUCUCCUAGCUUAGUCGAUUUUCUAGCCAGCUUUCUCUCUCUCCUGUUCUCCGCAGCAGAUUUUCAAACACCGCAUUCCCCUUAAACCUCCCAGGCUCCCAUCACUCCCAGCAAAGAGCCAGCCCGCUACUUUAUGGAGACAGGAGAGACUGUCAGACAGUUCCUGCUGCUGCCCAGGUGCAUCUGAGGUCUUGCCUUGUCACCCAAGCUGGAGUACAGUGUCACAAUCACAGCUCACUGUAGGUUCAACCUCUCCGGCUUAAGUGAACCUCCCCCCUGAGCCUCCUGAGUAGCUGGGACCACAGUGAAUCAGUGCUGCUAUGAACAUUACUCUGGGUGUAUGCUUGGACAUAGAAUCUCUGGAGUACAGUCUCAACUGUUAAUUCAAAAUAAAAUGUUUGGCCCAGUGCGGUGGCUCACACCUGUAAUCCCAGCACUUUGGGAGGCC
This 589-nucleotide long non-coding RNA is filed under the name Homo sapiens (human). Its description in RNAcentral is "HSALNT0345854". The record is from RNAcentral. Lineage: Eukaryota; Metazoa; Chordata; Mammalia; Primates; Hominidae.